This 498-nucleotide ribosomal RNA is filed under the name uncultured bacterium. RNAcentral describes it as "partial 16S ribosomal RNA". It matches the Rfam family "Bacterial small subunit ribosomal RNA", at positions 28 to 507 of the family's 1533-position model. The record is from RNAcentral.
GACGAACGCUGGCGGCGUGCCUAAUACAUGCAAGUCGAGCGGACGAAUCGAAAGCUUGCUUUUGAUUCGUUAGCGGCGGACGGGUGAGUAACACGUGGGCAACCUGCCCUGUAGACGGGGAUAACACCGAGAAAUCGGUGCUAAUACCGGAUAACACGAAAUGUCGCAUGACGUUUCGUUGAAAGACGGCGCAAGCUGUCGCUACAGGAUGGGCCCGCGGCGCAUUAGCUAGUUGGUGAGGUAACGGCUCACCAAGGCGACGAUGCGUAGCCGACCUGAGAGGGUGAUCGGCCACACUGGGACUGAGACACGGCCCAGACUCCUACGGGAGGUAGCCGUAGGGCAUCUUCCGCAAUGGACGAACGCCUGCCGGAGCACCGCCGCGUCAGCGCAGCAGGCAUGCGGGUCGUCCAGCUCUGUUGUUAGGGAAGAACAAGUAACGCAGUAACUGGCGUUACCGUGACGGUACCUAACGAGACAGCCACGGCUCACUACGUG